This 2807-nucleotide ribosomal RNA is filed under the name Escherichia coli. Its description in RNAcentral is "23S ribosomal RNA". It matches the Rfam family "Bacterial large subunit ribosomal RNA". The record is from RNAcentral. Lineage: Bacteria; Pseudomonadati; Pseudomonadota; Gammaproteobacteria; Enterobacterales; Enterobacteriaceae.
UUAAGCGACUAAGCGUACACGGUGGAUGCCCUGGCAGUCAGAGGCGAUGAAGGACGUGCUAAUCUGCGAUAAGCGUCGGUAAGGUGAUAUGAACCGUUAUAACCGGCGAUUUCCGAAUGGGGAAACCCAGUGUGNNNNNNNNNNNNNNNNNNNNNNNNNNNNNNNNNNNNNNNNNNNNNNNNNNNNNNNNNNNNNNNNNNNNNNNNNNNNNNNNNNNNNNNNNNNNNNNNNNNNNNNNNNNNNNNNNNNNNNNNNNNNNCUGUGAGCUCGAUGAGUAGGGCGGGACACGUGGUAUCCUGUCUGAAUAUGGGGGGACCAUCCUCCAAGGCUAAAUACUCCUGACUGACCGAUAGUGAACCAGUACCGUGAGGGAAAGGCGAAAAGAACCCCGGCGAGGGGAGUGAAAAAGAACCUGAAACCGUGUACGUACAAGCAGUGGGAGCACGCUUAGGCGUGUGACUGCGUACCUUUUGUAUAAUGGGUCAGCGACUUAUAUUCUGUAGCAAGGUUAACCGAAUAGGGGAGCCGAAGGGAAACCGAGUCUUAACUGGGCGUUAAGUUGCAGGGUAUAGACCCGAAACCCGGUGAUCUAGCCAUGGGCAGGUUGAAGGUUGGGUAACACUAACUGGAGGACCGAACCGACUAAUGUUGAAAAAUUAGCGGAUGACUUGUGGCUGGGGGUGAAAGGCCAAUCAAACCGGGAGAUAGCUGGUUCUCCCCGAAAGCUAUUUAGGUAGCGCCUCGUGAAUUCAUCUCCGGGGGUAGAGCACUGUUUCGGCAAGGGGGUCAUCCCGACUUACCAACCCGAUGCAAACUGCGAAUACCGGAGAAUGUUAUCACGGGAGACACACGGCGGGUGCUAACGUCCGUCGUGAAGAGGGAAACAACCCAGACCGCCAGCUAAGGUCCCAAAGUCAUGGUUAAGUGGGAAACGAUGUGGGAAGGCCCAGACAGCCAGGAUGUUGGCUUAGAAGCAGCCAUCAUUUAAAGAAAGCGUAAUAGCUCACUGGUCGAGUCGGCCUGCGCGGAAGAUGUAACGGGGCUAAACCAUGCACCGAAGCUGCGGCAGCGACGCUNAUGCGUUGUUGGGUAGGGGAGCGUUCUGUAAGCCUGCGAAGGUGUGCUGUGAGGCAUGCUGGAGGUAUCAGAAGUGCGAAUGCUGACAUAAGUAACGAUAAAGCGGGUGAAAAGCCCGCUCGCCGGAAGACCAAGGGUUCCUGUCCAACGUUAAUCGGGGCAGGGUGAGUCGACCCCUAAGGCGAGGCCGAAAGGCGUAGUCGAUGGGAAACAGGUUAAUAUUCCUGUACUUGGUGUUACUGCGAAGGGGGGACGGAGAAGGCUAUGUUGGCCGGGCGACGGUUGUCCCGGUUUAAGCGUGUAGGCUGGUUUUCCAGGCAAAUCCGGAAAAUCAAGGCUGAGGCGUGAUGACGAGGCACUACGGUGCUGAAGCAACAAAUGCCCUGCUUCCAGGAAAAGCCUCUAAGCAUCAGGUAACAUCAAAUCGUACCCCAAACCGACACAGGUGGUCAGGUAGAGAAUACCAAGGCGCUUGAGAGAACUCGGGUGAAGGAACUAGGCAAAAUGGUGCCGUAACUUCGGGAGAAGGCACGCUGAUAUGUAGGUGAAGUCCCUCGCGGAUGGAGCUGAAAUCAGUCGAAGAUACCAGCUGGCUGCAACUGUUUAUUAAAAACACAGCACUGUGCAAACACGAAAGUGGACGUAUACGGUGUGACGCCUGCCCGGUGCCGGAAGGUUAAUUGAUGGGGUUAGCGCAAGCGAAGCUCUUGAUCGAAGCCCCGGUAAACGGCGGCCGUAACUAUAACGGUCCUAAGGUAGCGAAAUUCCUUGUCGGGUAAGUUCCGACCUGCACGAAUGGCGUAAUGAUGGCCAGGCUGUCUCCACCCGAGACUCAGUGAAAUUGAACUCGCUGUGAAGAUGCAGUGUACCCGCGGCAAGACGGAAAGACCCCGUGAACCUUUACUAUAGCUUGACACUGAACAUUGAGCCUUGAUGUGUAGGAUAGGUGGGAGGCUUUGAAGUGUGGACGCCAGUCUGCAUGGAGCCGACCUUGAAAUACCACCCUUUAAUGUUUGAUGUUCUAACGUUGACCCGUAAUCCGGGUUGCGGACAGUGUCUGGUGGGUAGUUUGACUGGGGCGGUCUCCUCCUAAAGAGUAACGGAGGAGCACGAAGGUUGGCUAAUCCUGGUCGGACAUCAGGAGGUUAGUGCAAUGGCAUAAGCCAGCUUGACUGCGAGCGUGACGGCGCGAGCAGGUGCGAAAGCAGGUCAUAGUGAUCCGGUGGUUCUGAAUGGAAGGGCCAUCGCUCAACGGAUAAAAGGUACUCCGGGGAUAACAGGCUGAUACCGCCCAAGAGUUCAUAUCGACGGCGGUGUUUGGCACCUCGAUGUCGGCUCAUCACAUCCUGGGGCUGAAGUAGGUCCCAAGGGUAUGGCUGUUCGCCAUUUAAAGUGGUACGCGAGCUGGGUUUAGAACGUCGUGAGACAGUUCGGUCCCUAUCUGCCGUGGGCGCUGGAGAACUGAGGGGGGCUGCUCCUAGUACGAGAGGACCGGAGUGGACGCAUCACUGGUGUUCGGGUUGUCAUGCCAAUGGCACUGCCCGGUAGCUAAAUGCGGAAGAGAUAAGUGCUGAAAGCAUCUAAGCACGAAACUUGCCCCGAGAUGAGUUCUCCCUGACUCCUUGAGAGUCCUGAAGGAACGUUGAAGACGACGACGUUGAUAGGCCGGGUGUGUAAGCGCAGCGAUGCGUUGAGCUAACCGGUACUAAUGAACCGUGAGGCUUAACCUU